GCCUCAGUAACGGCGAGUGAAGCGGCAUAAGCUCAAAUUUGAAAUCUGGCUCUUUCAGGGUCCGAGUUGUAAUUUGUAGAAGAUGCUUCGGGUGUGGUCCCGGUCUAAGUUCCUUGGAACAGGACGUCAUAGAGGGUGAGAAUCCCGUAUGUGACUGGGUGCCUAUGCUCAUGUGAAGCUCUUUCGACGAGUCGAGUUGUUUGGGAAUGCAGCUCAAAAUGGGUGGUAUAUUUCAUCUAAAGCUAAAUAUUGGCCAGAGACCGAUAGCGCACAAGUAGAGUGAUCGAAAGAUGAAAAGCACUUUGGAAAGAGAGUUAAACAGUACGUGAAAUUGUUGAAAGGGAAGCGCUUGCAAUCAGACUUGCGCCUGGUUGAUCAUCCGGGGUUCUCUCCGGUGCACUCGAUCAGGCUCAGGCCAGCAUCGGUUUGGGUGGUUGGAUAAAGGCCUUGGGAAUGUGGCCCCUCUUGGGGGGUGUUAUAGCCCUCGGUGCCAUGCAGCCUACCUGGACCGAGGACCGCGCUUCGGCUAGGAUGCUGGCGUAAUGGUUGUAAGCGACCCGUCUUGAAACACGGACCAAGGAGUCUAACAUCUAUGCGAGUGUUUGGGUGUCAAACCCAUACGCGUAAUGAAAGUGAACGGAGGUGAGAACCCUUCAGGGUGCAUCAUCGACCGAUCCUGAUGUCUUCGGAUGGAUUUGAGUAAGAGCAUAGCUGUUGGGACCCGAAAGAUGGUGAACUAUACGUGAAUAGGGUGAAGCCAGAGGAAACUCUGGUGGAGGCUCGCAGCGGUUCUGACGUGCAAAUCGAUCGUCAAAUUUGCGUAUAGGGGCGAAAGACUAAUCGAACCAUUGGAAAGCUACUAG
This 863-nucleotide ribosomal RNA is filed under the name Cenangium acuum. RNAcentral's name for it is "LSU rRNA". It matches the Rfam family "Eukaryotic large subunit ribosomal RNA", at positions 77 to 957 of the family's 3401-position model. RNAcentral also lists the same sequence under 1 other name. The record is from RNAcentral. Lineage: Eukaryota; Fungi; Ascomycota; Leotiomycetes; Helotiales; Cenangiaceae.